RNAcentral lists this ribosomal RNA (1102 nucleotides) under Rhodotorula sp. YY34. Its description in RNAcentral is "eukaryotic LSU rRNA". The stretch from base 150 to 306 matches the Rfam family "5.8S ribosomal RNA". Lineage: Eukaryota; Fungi; Basidiomycota; Microbotryomycetes; Sporidiobolales; Sporidiobolaceae. The record is from RNAcentral.
AGGGGUCCACUUAACUUUUGGAGUCCGAACUCUCCUCCACUUUCUAACCCUGUGCAUCUGUUAAUUGGAAUAGUAGCUCUUCGGAGUGAACCACCAUUCACUUAUAAAACACAAAGUCUAUGAAUGUAUACAAAUUUAUAACAAAACAAAACUUUCAACAACGGAUCUCUUGGCUCUCGCAUCGAUGAAGAACGCAGCGAAAUGCGAUACGUAAUUCGUGAAUUGCAGAAUUCAGUGAAUCAUCGAAUCUUUGAACGCACCUUGCGCUCCUUGGUAUUCCGAGGAGCAUGCCUUGUUUGAGUGUAUCAGUGAAAUCUUCAACCCACCUCUUUCUUAGUGAAUCUGGUGGUGCUUGGUUUCUGAGCGCUGCUCUGCUUCGGCUUAGCUCGUUCGUAAUGCAUUAGCAUCCGCAACCGAACUUCGGAUUGACUUGGCGUAAUAGACUAUUCGCUGAGGAUUCUAGUUUACUAGAGCCGAGUUGGGUUAAAGGAAGCUCCUAAUCCUAAAGUCUAUUUUUUGAUUAGAUCUCAAAUCAGGUAGGACUACCCUGCUGAACUUUUAAGCAUAUCAAACCAUGGGUGGAGGAAGGCACUUUAGGGGAACUGGGACGUCAGACUUAACUUGGAGUCGAACUCUCACUUUCUAACCCUGUGCAUCUGUUAAUUGGAAUAGUAGCUCUUCGGAGUGAACACAUUCAUUAUAAAACACAAAGUCUAUGAAUGUAUACAAUUUAUACAAACAGAAGUUUCACAACGGAUCUUGGCUCUGCAUCGAUGAAGAACGCACGAAUGCGAUACGUAAUGUGAAUUGCUGAAUUCUGAAUCAUAAUCUUUGAAGCACUGGCCUCUUGGUAUUCAGGAGCAGCUGUUUGAGUGUCAUGAAUCUUCACACUCUUUUAGUGAAUCUGUGGUGGUGGGUUACUGAGCUGGUCUGCUUCGCUUACCCUCUAUUGCAUACAUCGCAACGAACUGGAUGACAACGCAUAAUAACAUUCAUGAGGAUCUAGAUUAGUAAGCCAGCCGAUUCAGAAGCAGAGCCGAAUCUAGUCUAUGUUUGGAUGAUUCAAUCGGUAGCAUCGUAACUAAGCCGCGCGGGAGGAAAA